This 253-nucleotide ribosomal RNA is filed under the name uncultured bacterium. Its description in RNAcentral is "partial 16S ribosomal RNA". It matches the Rfam family "Bacterial small subunit ribosomal RNA", at positions 524 to 776 of the family's 1533-position model. The record is from RNAcentral.
UACGUAGGUGGCAAGCGUUGUCCGGAUUUAUUGGGCGUAAAGCGCUCGCAGGUGGUCCAUCGCGUCGUGCGUGAAAGACCCCGGCUCAACUGGGGAGGGUCGUGCGAUACGGGCGGACUGGAGGCCAGUAGGGGGGUGCGGAAUUCCGGGUGUAGUGGUGGAAUGCGUAGAGAUCCGGAGGAACACCAGCGGCGAAGGCGGCAUCCUGGACUGGUCCUGACACUCAGGAGCGAAAGCGUGGGGAGCGAUCCGG